RNAcentral lists this unclassified non-coding RNA (200 nucleotides) under Onygenales sp. RNAcentral's name for it is "partial internal transcribed spacer 2". The record is from RNAcentral. Lineage: Eukaryota; Fungi; Ascomycota; Eurotiomycetes; Onygenales.
UUAAGUUCAGCGGGUAUUCCUACCUGAUCCGAGGUCAAAUCUUAGACUUUUAAAUUGACAGAAUGCCGGCUGGGCCACCAAAGCGUGUGACAAAGCUCCAUACACUUGGGCACCAAACUCGGCAUCGCCACUGCAUUUCGAGCUGUCCAUUAAGGGACAGGGCUCAACAAACAAGCUGUGCUUGAGGAUUGUAAUGACGC